GCAUUCAUAGAUUAAAAAAAUUGUGGGGCUGUUAACCCUAAGAAAGCUUUAUAGCUUGUAUGCG
This 64-nucleotide transfer RNA is filed under the name Sphyranura euryceae. RNAcentral's name for it is "tRNA-Asn". The record is from RNAcentral. Lineage: Eukaryota; Metazoa; Platyhelminthes; Monogenea; Polystomatidea; Sphyranuridae.